This 482-nucleotide ribosomal RNA is filed under the name uncultured bacterium. Its description in RNAcentral is "partial 16S ribosomal RNA". It matches the Rfam family "Bacterial small subunit ribosomal RNA", at positions 30 to 507 of the family's 1533-position model. The record is from RNAcentral.
AUUGAACGCUGGCGGCAUGCCUUACACAUGCAAGUCGAACGGUAACGGGCCUUCGGGUGCCGACGAGUGGCGAACGGGUGAGUAAUACAUCGGAACGUGCCCGAUCGUGGGGGAUAACGAGGCGAAAGCUUUGCUAAUACCGCAUACGAUCUACGGAUGAAAGCAGGGGACCGCAAGGCCUUGCGCGGACGGAGCGGCCGAUGGCAGAUUAGGUAGUCGGUGGGAUAAAAGCUUACCAAGCCGACGAUCUGUAGCUGGUCUGAGAGGAUGAUCAGCCACACUGGGACUGAGACACGGCCCAGACUCCUACGGGAGGCAGCAGUGGGGAAUUUUGGACAAAGGGCGCAAGCCUGAUCCAGCCAUGCCGCGUGCAGGAUGAAGGCCUUCGGGUUGUAAACUGCUUUUGUACGGAACGAAAAGCCUUCUUUUAAUACAGGAGGGUCAUGACGGUACCGUAAGAAUAAGCACCGGCUAACUACGUG